UCGAAUGGAAUUAAAAGGGAAUCCCGGUGAAAAUCCGGAGCUGUACUCGCAGCUGUAAGUCCUAUUAAAGUUUAUCGCACUCUUUGCCACUGGUGAAAGCUGGGAAGGCGCGAUAAGCGGGAUGAGCCAGAAGACCUGCUUGAUGAGAUA
This 150-nucleotide non-coding RNA is filed under the name Bacteroides thetaiotaomicron. Lineage: Bacteria; Pseudomonadati; Bacteroidota; Bacteroidia; Bacteroidales; Bacteroidaceae. The record is from RNAcentral.